GAGAAUAUAGCUCAGUGGUAGAGCAUGUGCUUAGCAUGCACAAGGUCCUGGGUUCAAUCCCCAGUACCUCCA
Molecule: transfer RNA, 72 nt
Filed under: Camelus bactrianus (Bactrian camel)
Lineage: Eukaryota; Metazoa; Chordata; Mammalia; Artiodactyla; Camelidae
Also listed under: 2 other names
Rfam family: tRNA
About the family: Transfer RNA (tRNA) molecules are approximately 80 nucleotides in length.
Source: Rfam by way of RNAcentral